ACGAACGCUGGCGGCAUGCCUAACACAUGCACGUCGAACGAGACCUUCGGGUCUAGUGGCGCACGGGUGCGUAACGCGUGGGAACCUGCCCUUAGGUUCGGAAUAACUCCCCGAAAGGGGUGCUAAUACCGGAUAAUGUCUUCGGACCAAAGAUUUAUCGCCUUUGGAUGGGCCCGCGUUGGAUUAGCUGGUUGGUAGGGUAAAAGCCUACCAAGGCGACGAUCCAUAGCUGGUCUGAGAGGAUGAUCAGCCACACUGGGACUGAGACACGGCCCAGACUCCUACGGGAGGCAGCAGUGGGGAAUAUUGGACAAUGGGCGAAAGCCUGAUCCAGCAAUGCCGCGUGAGUGAUGAAGGCCUUAGGGUUGUAAAGCUCUUUUACCCGGGAUGAUAAUGACAGUACCGGGAGAAUAAGCUCCGGCUAACUCCGUG
Molecule: ribosomal RNA, 432 nt
Filed under: uncultured bacterium
Lineage: Bacteria
Description: partial 16S ribosomal RNA
Rfam family: Bacterial small subunit ribosomal RNA
Source: RNAcentral